GAAAUGCAAUAAGUAAUGUGAAUUGCAGAAUUUAGUGAAUUAUUGAAUCUUUGAACGCAUAUUGCGCCUGCUAGUAUUCUAGCAGGCAUGCCUGUCCAAGCGUUAUUUCAACUAUCAAGCCCCCUGGCUUGUGUUAGGGACCUGCGCGCUGCUGCGCAGGCCCUGAAAAGCAGUGGCAGGCUUGCCAACACACCGAGCGUAGUAGCAUCUGUUCUUGCUUAGGGCGUACUGCAGGUUCCAGCUGUAAAACUAGCGCUUUCUUCUUAGAAGCGUACCCCAAAGGUUAACCUCGGAUCAGGUAGAAGUACCUGCUAAACUUAA
RNAcentral lists this unclassified non-coding RNA (321 nucleotides) under uncultured Sordariomycetes. Its description in RNAcentral is "sequence contains ITS1". The stretch from base 1 to 105 matches the Rfam family "5.8S ribosomal RNA", at positions 50 to 154 of the family's 154-position model. The record is from RNAcentral. Lineage: Eukaryota; Fungi; Ascomycota; Sordariomycetes.